This 301-nucleotide ribosomal RNA is filed under the name uncultured bacterium. RNAcentral describes it as "partial 16S ribosomal RNA". It matches the Rfam family "Bacterial small subunit ribosomal RNA", at positions 509 to 808 of the family's 1533-position model. The record is from RNAcentral.
CAGCAGCGCGGUAAUACGGAGGGUGCAAGCGUUAAUCGGAAUUACUGGGCGUAAAGCGUGCGUAGGCGGUGAGUUAAGUCUGCUGUGAAAUCCCCGGGCUCAACCUGGGAAUGGCAGUGGAUACUGGCUCGCUAGAGUGUGUCAGAGGAUGGUGGAAUUCCCGGUGUAGCGGUGAAAUGCGUAGAGAUCGGGAGGAACAUCAGUGGCGAAGGCGGCCAUCUGGGACAACACUGACGCUGAGGCACGGAAGCGUGGGGAGCAAACAGGAUUAGAUACCCCCGUAGUCCCUGUCUCUUAUACA